RNAcentral lists this non-coding RNA (178 nucleotides) under Allomeiothermus silvanus. RNAcentral's name for it is "Meiothermus silvanus FMN sequence". It matches the Rfam family "FMN riboswitch aptamer (RFN element)". Rfam says of the family: The RFN element is a highly conserved domain that is found frequently in the 5'-untranslated regions of prokaryotic mRNAs that encode for flavin mononucleotide (FMN) biosynthesis and transport proteins. Lineage: Bacteria; Thermotogati; Deinococcota; Deinococci; Thermales; Thermaceae. RNAcentral also lists the same sequence under 1 other name. The record is from RNAcentral.
CUCUUCCUUCGGGGCGGGGUGAAACUCCCCACCGGCGGUGAGCCCUCGGCCUCUUUUAGGCCGCGGGAGAAGCCCGCGAAGCCCAGGAAGUCUGCAGCAUCUUGGGCCCGAUUCGGUGAGAAUCCGAAGCCGACCGUGAUGCCUAUUUAUGGCUGAGUCGGGAUGGGAGAAGGAGGCA